GCUGGGCGUGGUGGCUCACGUCUGUAAUCCCAGCCCUUUGGGAGGCUGAGGUGGGUGGAUCACUUGAGGUCAGGAGUUCGGGACCAGCCUGGCCAACAUGGUGAAACCCCGUCUCUA
Papio anubis (olive baboon) is the source of this 117-nucleotide unclassified non-coding RNA. It matches the Rfam family "Metazoan signal recognition particle RNA". From Rfam's summary of the family: The signal recognition particle (SRP) is a universally conserved ribonucleoprotein. Lineage: Eukaryota; Metazoa; Chordata; Mammalia; Primates; Cercopithecidae. The record is from Ensembl.